GGGGGCGAAAUGGCUUCGACGGGGGUAAUUGAGGCCGGAGUUGCAUACCGAGGUUUCACCAUCUCGUUAAACUGGUGAAAAUAACAUAAUCGCCAACGAUUAUAAUUACGCUGUAGCCGCUUAACGCGGCUUCCGUCUCUCUCGCUUUCUCCUGUGGAGCGGGAAGAGGCGUCGAAUAAGCAGGAUAGCCUCAUUUCAGUAUCCGGAUGGUGUGAGGCGAAAACAACCCGGAUGAGCGUUUUUAUCAUCCUGUCUCGGGGAGAAUAAAAACGCUUAAUAAAACCGAGACUGUGUAUGGAGAUACUCUGAGCUGAAUGCUUUCGGACGGGGGUUCAACUCCCCCCGCCUCCACCA
This 354-nucleotide transfer-messenger RNA is filed under the name Thermodesulfobacteriota bacterium. It matches the Rfam family "transfer-messenger RNA". Rfam says of the family: Bacterial tmRNA, also known as 10Sa RNA or SsrA, is named for its dual tRNA and mRNA-like properties. Its role is to liberate the mRNA from a stalled ribosome. Lineage: Bacteria; Pseudomonadati; Thermodesulfobacteriota. The record is from RNAcentral.